This 554-nucleotide ribosomal RNA is filed under the name uncultured bacterium. RNAcentral's name for it is "partial 16S ribosomal RNA". It matches the Rfam family "Bacterial small subunit ribosomal RNA", at positions 355 to 900 of the family's 1533-position model. The record is from RNAcentral.
UAGGGAAUCUUCCACAAUGGACGCAAGUCUGAUGGAGCAACGCCGCGUGAGUGAAGAAGGUUUUCGGAUCGUAAAGCUCUGUUGUUGGUGAAGAAGGAUAGAGGCAGUAACUGGCCUUUAUUUGACGGUAAUCAACCAGAAAGUCACGGCUAACUACGUGCCAGCAGCCGCGGUAAUACGUAGGUGGCAAGCGUUGUCCGGAUUUAUUGGGCGUAAAGCGAGCGCAGGCGGAAGAAUAAGUCUGAUGUGAAAGCCCUCGGCUUAACCGAGGAACUGCAUCGGAAACUGUUUUUCUUGAGUGCAGAAGAGGAGAGUGGAACUCCAUGUGUAGCGGUGGAAUGCGUAGAUAUAUGGAAGAACACCAGUGGCGAAGGCGACUCUCUGGUCUGCAACUGACGCUGAGGCUCGAAAGCAUGGGUAGCGAACAGAAUUAGAUACCCUGGUAGUCCAUGCCGUAAACGAUGAGUGCUAAGUGUUGGGAGGUUUCCGCCUCUCAGUGCUGCAGCUAACGCAUUAAGCACCCCGCCUGGGGAGUACGACCGCAAGGUUGAAAC